This 253-nucleotide ribosomal RNA is filed under the name uncultured prokaryote. RNAcentral's name for it is "partial 16S ribosomal RNA". It matches the Rfam family "Bacterial small subunit ribosomal RNA", at positions 524 to 776 of the family's 1533-position model. The record is from RNAcentral.
UACGGGGGGGGCAAGCGUUGUUCGGAAUUACUGGGCGUAAAGCGUGCGUAGGCGGCUCUUCAAGUCGAGUGUGAAAGCUCCAGGCUUAACCUGGGAAUUGCGCUCGAUACUGUUGAGCUAGAGUGUGGAAGGGGCUACUGGAAUUCCGUGUGUAGCGGUGAAAUGCGUAGAUAUUGGGAAGAACACCGGAGGCGAAGGCGGGUUGCUGGGCCGAUACUGACGCUGAGGCGCGAAAGCCAGGGGAGCAAACGGG